Molecule: transfer RNA, 73 nt
Filed under: Tenuidactylus caspius
Lineage: Eukaryota; Metazoa; Chordata; Lepidosauria; Squamata; Gekkonidae
Description: tRNA-Asn
Source: RNAcentral
UAAGUUANAGCCCGCUGGAUUGGGUGUAUAUWUGUUAAUUAAGAUUUUACGGGAUCGAGGCCCGUUAGCCUAU